Molecule: ribosomal RNA, 254 nt
Filed under: uncultured bacterium
Lineage: Bacteria
Description: partial 16S ribosomal RNA
Rfam family: Bacterial small subunit ribosomal RNA
Source: RNAcentral
CACGUAGGGUGCGAGCGUUGUCCGGAAUUAUUGGGCGUAAAGAGCUCGUAGGCGGUCUGUCGCGUCGAUCGUGAAAACUUGGGGCUUAACCCUGAGCUUGCGGUCGAUACGGGCAUGACUGGAGUUCGGCAGGGGAGACUGGAAUUCCUGGUGUAGCGGUGAAAUGCGCAGAUAUCUGGAGGAACACCGGUGGCGAAGGCGACAUCCUGGACCGGCAUUGACGCUGAGGCGCGAAAGCCAGGGGAGCAAACGGG